UACGUAGGGGGCAAGCGUUAUCCGGAUUUACUGGGUGUAAAGGGAGCGUAGACGGCAGUGCAAGUCUGGAGUGAAAGGCGGGGGCUCAACCCCCGGGCUGCUCUGGAAACUGUACGGCUGGAGUGCAGGAGAGGUAAGUGGAAUUCCUAGUGUAGCGGUGAAAUGCGUAGAUAUUAGGAGGAACACCAGUGGCGAAGGCGGCUUACUGGACUGUAACUGACGUUGAGGCUCGAAAGCGUGGGGAGCAAACAGG
RNAcentral lists this ribosomal RNA (253 nucleotides) under uncultured bacterium. RNAcentral describes it as "partial 16S ribosomal RNA". It matches the Rfam family "Bacterial small subunit ribosomal RNA", at positions 524 to 776 of the family's 1533-position model. The record is from RNAcentral.